GUGGACGCAUCACUGGUGUUCGGGUUGUCAUGCCAAUGGCACUGCCCGGUAGCUAAAUGCGGAAGAGAUAAGUGCUGAAAGCAUCUAAGCACGAAACUUGCCCCGAGAUGAGUUCUCCCUGAGACUUUAAGUCUCCUGAAGGAACGUUGAAGACGACGACGUUGAUAGGCCGGGUGUGUAAGCGCAGCGAUGCGUUGAGCUAACCGGUACUAAUGAACCGUGAGGCUUAACCUU
RNAcentral lists this ribosomal RNA (234 nucleotides) under Pseudomonas aeruginosa. Its description in RNAcentral is "partial 23S ribosomal RNA". It matches the Rfam family "Bacterial large subunit ribosomal RNA", at positions 2697 to 2925 of the family's 2925-position model. The record is from RNAcentral. Lineage: Bacteria; Pseudomonadati; Pseudomonadota; Gammaproteobacteria; Pseudomonadales; Pseudomonadaceae. RNAcentral also lists the same sequence under 19 other names.